RNAcentral lists this long non-coding RNA (338 nucleotides) under Capsicum annuum. Its description in RNAcentral is "long non-coding RNA (CANN_LNC017588)". Lineage: Eukaryota; Viridiplantae; Streptophyta; Magnoliopsida; Solanales; Solanaceae. The record is from RNAcentral.
AUGAGUUUUGAGGGUCGAUUUUGAGUUUGAUAUGUUGGUUGUUGCUGGAGGAGGUUGCUGAUGUCUAUUGCAACCGCACCUAAGAACUUUGGCCGCACAAGUGGAGUCGCUCCUGUGAUCAGGGUUGAACCUAUGAAGUGAGGCAAGGUAAGAAUUCUUCUCUCCUAUGGAGGUUCGUUUGUAUCAGCAGAGCCACAACUGCGACGCUUAGUUGUGCAUGCGCCUGCAAAUUUGCUCCUGCCGGACGUGGACAACUCCGAUGAAGGGUGGCAUGGCUGUUGACUUUUAUUGUUGCUUAAGAGUCACUGCAUGUGCAAUCAAAUCUUUGCAGGUGCGGA